This 1530-nucleotide long non-coding RNA is filed under the name Meleagris gallopavo (turkey). RNAcentral describes it as "lncRNA (ENSMGAG00000019049.1)". Lineage: Eukaryota; Metazoa; Chordata; Aves; Galliformes; Phasianidae. The record is from RNAcentral.
AUGCAUAAUUUCGACAGCUUGUGCUUUAUCAAAGAAAUUACGUCAAUCGUUAAAGCUGCUGCUUUCCUUAUUUACUUGCAAGUUUUCAAUAUCAAAUUCCAAGAGGGACAGAAAAGCAAUGUGAAAGAAAACUUUCAAGGGAAUGUAAAACAAAAGGGAGAAGGAGUUCUAGUGGAAGCGUGGAGAACAACUGGUGUCUCUGUACUCACUGAAUCAAUGUGCAGCUGAACCUCCAAGAGUCUGACAGGAAAAUCCAACUACACCUGUUGGAGCUGCCUAUGUUAGACUGCUCAGAGAUGUUACCUGGAAUCUGGAUCAAAGUCAUUUUUUCAUCAGGUUAAUGAUGACUUUGACAUCAGUCACCAGAUGAUAUGUAUUAUUAAUAAAAAUAUAUAUUUUCUUGUAUCACAUGUUAAGAAUCUAACUUUCCUGGAUUUUUGAUGCGGGAAAAAAUACUUAGGGAUAAAGAGACUGACUUAAACCAAGUAUCUAAGGCCAAGCUAUUUCUUGAUGUAGGGCACUCUGUACAGAAGUGUUUGUUUCAGUUUGCCUAUAUUGUGGUUUAAAUACAUUUUGAACUUUGGUUAGAGUACAUCAAUUUUCAGAUUAUUCGUAUUGAAAAGAUGUUGGUCUUGAAUUUCGUAUUUUAAUGGUGAAAAAAAAAUAGUAGCUAAGAACAUAGCGAUAAUUUUCAUCUAUACCACCCUUUUAUUCAAAUCAGAAGGAUUCUGCAGUUAAGAAGUGUAACAUGAUUAUUCAUGUUCAGUGGAACACAUGCUGUGAUCAAAACACAACUUGGAAAUGCACACAGGAUUGGACUGCAGGGUGUGUGACUGUAACAGAGGUGGUCUAGGCUGGAAAACAUUGCUCAGGUCAAGUGAGUGUUCACUGACUUUCAUUUAUUAAACAUAACUGCCUACUGUACAUUUUGAUCUUCCUUGUAAAGGCAGCUGAGUGAGUUAUCUUUAGCAAAUACGUCCUGCAAAACUCCCCACUGACAGUAUGCUCAGUGUAUGUAAAGCCUGUAUAUUUUGAUAGCUGCCGACUUUGAAUCAAAAGCUUCUCUUGGCUAGUGGAUGAAACAAGUUCUUCAUAGAAAAUGGGCUGUGUCCCACUCCACAGCCAGGGGCAGGCCCUCCCUUUGCCCUGAUACAGGCAUAGCUCCUACCAAUGUAUCCAGGAAUAAAGAUUUCCUUCUGCUACCCAGACGGAUAGCUGUGCUAAUCUUAAACAUCUUGAAGGGAGAACACAAAUCCGAUCUCUCAAAACGUUAUACAGUACACCCUACUUCAUGUUUCUAGCUCAAGUUUAAUGUAAUUGUUUCAGGAGAUCAAAUUCAACAGCAACAAAAAUCCACCAAAAUACAGAUCUAUUCUGUGAGGAAAGGAUAAUUAAUUAAUUGAUUUCCAUAUGACAUAAGAUUCAAAUCACAGUCACAGUCUCUUGCAUGUUGUUUGCUUUUUUGUUAUUCAGACUACUUUAUGGAGUGGCAGAGUGUUAUUGCUGCUUAAUCCAGAAUGUUAAUCAUGG